RNAcentral lists this ribosomal RNA (253 nucleotides) under uncultured Bacillota bacterium. Its description in RNAcentral is "uncultured Firmicutes bacterium partial 16S ribosomal RNA". It matches the Rfam family "Bacterial small subunit ribosomal RNA", at positions 524 to 776 of the family's 1533-position model. Lineage: Bacteria; Bacillati; Bacillota. The record is from RNAcentral.
UACGUAGGUGGCAAGCGUUAUCCGGAAUUAUUGGGCGUAAAGAGCGCGCAGGUGGUUAAUUAAGUCUGAUGUGAAAGCCCACGGCUUAACCGUGGAGGGUCAUUGGAAACUGGUUGACUUGAGUGCAGAAGAGGGAAGUGGAAUUCCAUGUGUAGCGGUGAAAUGCAUAGAUAUAACUUAGAACACCGAUAGCGAAGGCAGCUUACCAGACUGAGUCUGACGCUGAUGCACGAGAGCAUGGGUAGCGAACAGG